This 71-nucleotide transfer RNA is filed under the name Marmota monax (woodchuck). RNAcentral describes it as "tRNA.Ala". It matches the Rfam family "tRNA". From Rfam's summary of the family: Transfer RNA (tRNA) molecules are approximately 80 nucleotides in length. Their secondary structure includes four short double-helical elements and three loops (D, anti-codon, and T loops). The record is from RNAcentral. Lineage: Eukaryota; Metazoa; Chordata; Mammalia; Rodentia; Sciuridae.
GGAGAUGUAGCUGAGUGGUAAAGUGCUUGCCUAGCAUGUCAAAGGCCCUGGGUUCGAUCCCCAGCACUACA